UGUGGGGACAUACAUUUUUCAUGGAAAAAAUUCCCAUGUAAAUGGACCUGCACAAUUCAAACCUGUGUUAUUCAAGGGUAGAGAGUAUCUGGCCUGUCUCAUUGAGAAUCAAUGCCCAUGUCCUCUUCGUGGUCUAAUCCUCUUCCCUUCUGGUGCAGCCUGAGGGCCUGGGGCUGCUCCUCUAGGCCAAAUGGGGCCCUUGCUGUUGUCUCCACCUGGAAGUCUCUUCCCCCAGAAAUCCAUAUAGCUGUCUCCCCUGGACCUCAUUUUCGGUCUUUGCUCAAACACAUCCUCCUUAGUUAAGGAGCCUUCCCAAGUUACCACAUUCAAAAUCAUAUCCCUGCCCUUCUUCUAGCAUCAUUUUCUCCCUUUCCUAUUUUACUCUUCUCCACAAAAUUUACCACUUGUUAAAUUAUUUUUAAUUUUCCAGCUCCCUCCAUGAGAAUGUAUAUUCCACAAGGGGAAAAAUUUUGCCUGUCUUGUUGACUGCUUACUCCCAGCCCUGGAACAGUGACUAGUAGAGAGGAGGCAUCAUGGGGUCAAUGAAUAAAGGAAUAUCUCAUUCAUUUAUUUAUUUGGGGGAUGUUGAUAUUGACAAAGGAUGAGCCUCUCCCACCCCUCCUGUGUGCGAACACCUCAAGGAGGAAGGGCGCUAAAAGCCCAAUGGCAAAUAUGAGAAUAACAUUGCAGUCAGGCAUAGUAUAAACAAAUAGUAGAGAGUAGCUGCCGUGGUGGUUAUGCCACUGGAAAAGCUCAGUUAGAGACCAAGAAAGGUCUUUAAGCCAGGUUCAGCUAGGGAAAAAAUUCAGUCAGGCUUUUCCUCUGCUCCCUCUAUUGCCUCCUGUUUUCCUGAGAAAAAAGAGGGCAGGCCUGCUUCUGUUAUCCUGGACUCUGCAUGGCAGCCUACAAAAUAGUUCAAUACCUCACACUAUACUCCCUCUUACAUCAAGAUUGAAGUAAGUUAUCAUAAUACACAAGUACUGAUUUUGGAAUACAAUUGUUUAAACUGCUUGCCAGAGUUUUGUAUCUAAGACUGGCAGCUCUGUGUAGCAAGAAGGUUCUGCAGCAAAGGGACUGACACUGCUCUCCCCUGAUGCUCCGCCAUGUGCUGCCUGGCACAGGAUGUUUUCAACUCACUGGUUUACUUGAAAUUUACAUAAAAUCCUCAUUGGGAAGCGUCUGUUAAAAUCUUAGAAAAAGGCUCAAGUAAAGGGAAGGACCAUCACCAUCGACAAAAAUUAGAAAGUAAGAGGGACCUUGGAAAGCCACUCUGAGCUCUCUACAAACAUGUCCUUGGCCUGGAUGAAAGCACAAUAUAAGGCCCAUAGUGCCACCAAGAUAGGAGGAGGAACGAGGCCAGGAAACACGUGACAUUGACUUUGUAUGCUAGAAUUCCUGGAAGGGAGAUUCUUAGUUCAGUUCAGUCACUCAGUCGUGUCCAACUCUUUGUGAGCCCAUGGACUGCAGCAUGCCAGGC
This is a long non-coding RNA of Bos taurus (domestic cattle), 1477 nucleotides long. The record is from Ensembl. NCBI's taxonomy places the organism in Eukaryota, Metazoa, Chordata, Mammalia, Artiodactyla, Bovidae.